AAAGUAUAUAACGUUAACUAAUGAUUUACAAACGCAUGCCAGGAUCCGUAACGUUUAGAAUGUGAUCCACUUGAGCCCAAAGAGUGGAGUCUGGAGAGAAAGCGUUGAGAGAAUUGACACAGGUUUAGCAAGUCUGUUAGUAACACAUGUUUAGCUAACCAGACAGCCCCAUGGAUGUCUCGCCUCAAUGAACAUCUGGCUGCAUCGGAUAUUGGGCCCAGCUGAGAUCAGAUGUUGACCCCCUACAGGCCCUUCAAUAUGCAUGACUGUCUCCCCUCCUCCACCGUCCAACCCCCACUAAACAGCUGAAUACAGCCAGCUAGUCUACAAUCCCACUGCAGUAAUGCCCAUGGCAUGAUACACAUCCAGAUAAUAAUACAGUAAUAGAGUUGUGUUACUAAGACGUGUAUCAUCACUUCGUCUAGUUUGCUCUGAGCCUUUUCAAGUAUUGGGGACAAAGUCACUGACCAGAUCACACAUGAUUUGGAUAGUCCAUCUGUAGAUGGUGUACAGAUGGUCAUUACUAUCAACAAACUAUCUGUUGAUAAGCAACUGCUUGCGAAGUUUAGGUUUACAAUAAGGGUUAGGUCUAGGUUUAGGAUAAGGGUUAGGUUUAGAAUAAGGGUUAGGGCUAGGUUUAGGAUAAGGGUUAGGUUUAGGAUAAGGGUUAAGUUCAGGGCUAGGAUAAAGGUUAGGGUUAGGUUUAGAAUAAGGGUUAGGGCUAGGUUUAGGAUAAGGGUUAAGUUCAGGGUUAGGAUAAGGGUUACUGUUAGGGUUAGUAGAUAGUUUAAAUGUUACUGAUAGUCUCUAGAGCAUAUACAGACGGAUGAUCCAAAGACCAAUUAGUGGGAAAAUAUCAUAAUUGGUUUGCCUGUGUGAACGCAGCGAUAUAGAUACAGUCAAUCAACUGGAAGGAGCUAGUUGAGGAACAGGAUGUGCCACUGGCUAUUUGCAUAGCCAACACCAACUCUUUAUCAUGUUGACAGAUUCAGAUCUGUAGUAGAGACAAAUCACCACAGACACUGUAGACUAACAAUAGACAUUCUGUGUACAUCACAUGUACAUCCACACUGGUGGAUCCUUGUUAGGUGAUGAUGACUAACGUUAUAGUGAUGUAUUUGGGGUAGCCUAGU
RNAcentral lists this long non-coding RNA (1133 nucleotides) under Salmo salar (Atlantic salmon). Its description in RNAcentral is "lncRNA (ENSSSAG00000103053.1)". Lineage: Eukaryota; Metazoa; Chordata; Actinopteri; Salmoniformes; Salmonidae. The record is from RNAcentral.